UAUUCAUCUACAAUAUUUUAUUUACAUUGCGCUCUCUUCUUUCAAGUGUAUUGUUCGGAAAACUAAACAUUGAUUUUGAUGAAUUGAUCAUGUAACAUCGGCUCUGUUGUCCAACAAAGAAUAGCGCUUAUCGCUGUCGAUAAUCGACUUGAAUAUCCCUAAACGCGAAUAAAGUAACAAAAGCAAUGAUCGAAAUAAAAUUUUAGUUCCCUGAACAAUACUUUCGAAAAAGGAGAACGCAAAGUAAACAAAAUAUUGUACGUGAAUAGUUAAAGUGAGUUAGCGGAUAAUUAUUAGAAAAUAUUGUUAAUCAGAAAUGUAUUUCAACGCGUAAACCUUCCUAAACUACUGGGUGAAGGGAAAUAUAUGCAUAGAUGGAUAUAAAAAGUAUUUUUUGGUUUUUUUUAAAAUUGGUAAUGCGGCUCAUACAUUUUACUGCCAAACUGCUGCUGCCGCUGAACAUUUCGUGUGCGUGUAUGAUUAAAUAAUGUCUAGCGCUUCUUCAAUCCAAAAAUAAUUAGAUUUUGUUGGAAAUUUUGAUGUUCGGAAUUUUUUCCAAACAUAAAAUUUGAAAAUAAAUACAAUUCAUUGGAUUGGAGGGAAUUCAGUUUUAUAAAUUGUUUUGAUCUCUAUCCUGCUUGAAAACUCACACAUUAGUCAUGUUUAUGUUGGAGAAUUUUCAAAUAAAAAAUCAUAAAGGAUGUUA
Long non-coding RNA from Musca domestica (house fly), 706 nucleotides. RefSeq lists it as uncharacterized. The record is from RefSeq and is a predicted model, not a curated record. The transcript is spliced from 2 exons. NCBI's taxonomy places the organism in Eukaryota, Metazoa, Arthropoda, Insecta, Diptera, Muscidae.